CACUUCUUUCUGUAUUUUACAUGUGGUAUCUGCAGUAGGCCAGUAUGUGCAGAUCUCAGGUCACGUAUAGGAACAUAUGAAGACAGACAUUCAGUAAGGUAGAGACGUGCUAGGUCGUUUAAAGCUUUAAAAACAAGUAAAAGAACUUUCAAAUUUAUCCUCGUUAAUAAAGGUGACCAGUGAAGGUUUUUCAAAACAGGAGUGAUAUUCUCUUUCUCGUAUUUGUUAGGAUCUGUGCUACUGCAUUUCGAACAAGUAGUAAGGGAUUUAUAGUUUUCUUGGGAAGCCCACAAAACAGAGCAUUACAAUUAUAUCCACAUCAAUGUGAGCAAUGGAGAAGUCAAAUUAACGUGUCUAAAUAUCAUCUAGUUCUAUCCCAUGGAAGAGGGCUGUUGCCUACUCAGAUGACAAAACACAAAACGCUCAACUCUGCAAAACACGCAUAAGGACAUCAGUCAGGAGGAACAAGACAUUAAGAGGAAGGACACAUUCACCCUUGGUAGAGAUUCAGUUGUUCUUUGAGAUGUCAAGGAGUCUACUAACUCCAAGGACAA
This is a non-coding RNA of Lepisosteus oculatus (spotted gar), 554 nucleotides long. The record is from RefSeq and is a predicted model, not a curated record. NCBI's taxonomy places the organism in Eukaryota, Metazoa, Chordata, Actinopteri, Semionotiformes, Lepisosteidae.